AACCCUUUGUGACUUAUACCUAUCUGUUGCCUCGGCGCAGGCCGGCCUCUUCACUGAGGCCCCCUGGAAACAGGGAGCAGCCCGCCGGCGGCCAACUAAACUCUUGUUUCUAUAGUGAAUCUCUGAGUAAAAAACAUAAAUGAAUCAAAACUUUCAACAACGGAUCUCUUGGUUCUGGCAUCGAUGAAGAACGCAGCGAAAUGCGAUAAGUAAUGUGAAUUGCAGAAUUCAGUGAAUCAUCGAAUCUUUGAACGCACAUUGCGCCCUCUGGUAUUCCGGAGGGCAUGCCUGUUCGAGCGUCAUUUCAACCCUCAAGCCUGGCUUGGUGAUGGGGCACUGCCUUCUAACGAGGGCAGGCCCUGAAAUCUAGUGGCGAGCUCGCUAGGACCCCGAGCGUAGUAGUUAUAUCUCGUUCUGGAAGGCCCUGGCGGUGCCCUGCCGUUAAACCCCCAACUUCUGAAAAUUUGACCUCGGAUCAGGUAGGAAUACCCGCUGAACUUAAGCAUAUCAAUAAGCGGAGGAAUCCGUAGUGGAACCUGCGGAGCGCCCCAGAAACCUUUGAGAACUUAUACUAUCUGUUGCUCGGCGCAGCCGGCCUCUUCACUGACGCCCC
This 613-nucleotide ribosomal RNA is filed under the name Diaporthe sp. ASF2-3. RNAcentral describes it as "eukaryotic LSU rRNA". The stretch from base 149 to 302 matches the Rfam family "5.8S ribosomal RNA". The record is from RNAcentral. Lineage: Eukaryota; Fungi; Ascomycota; Sordariomycetes; Diaporthales; Diaporthaceae.